RNAcentral lists this long non-coding RNA (3785 nucleotides) under Podarcis lilfordi (Lilford's wall lizard). The record is from RNAcentral. Lineage: Eukaryota; Metazoa; Chordata; Lepidosauria; Squamata; Lacertidae.
CUGGCUACUUGAUCCCUGCUUGGCUGGAACAAGAGCUGAGCAGAAGAAAAGAGGGUGAAAAGAUCAGGAAAGAGUCUUUCAGGAAACAGCUGUGAGUGCCAAAGCUCCCUCUGCAAUACCAAAGGUGUUUGCCCAUGAAAUUUGCCCCAAGUCUCCCUUCCAUAGCUAGCUAAUUCAUUUCAUUCGCUUGGGAAAGGGAAACUAUAUUGCUAACAGGAUCGAAUGGGCUGUCAAGAAAAUGUAGCCACAUUUGAAACUUUUUUUUGUCAAAACCUCAUUUGUUUAUUUUAUAUGGAUUUUGAAAUUUCAUUUCUGCUCAGCUGAUGGAGCCAAGGUGUUUAGACUAGACCUGUGCCAUUCCAGCAUUUAAGUAACUGACAGGGGCUUUGACGGAUAGUGCAAUUUCCUGGGGAAAUUUCUCUGUCUUUUAAAGUGCUCUUUUCCUUUUUUAAAAAAAAAAAAAAGACUGGAUGUUGCAGCUGUCAUACUUUUUCAUCUUAAUAGUCAUAACGUGGGCUUUUCACUUCCUCUCUUUCUCUGCUCAAGGCACCUGCACUCUUGAUUUAACUCUAAACAUCCCGGGGGGGGGCAAGUUGGGUGUUUUUUGAAAAAAUUAAACUAGAAGGAGCAGCCAGCUGGUUAGAUACUCACAAAGUCCUCUCAAGGCAGCCCUGUCUGAAGGGUCACUGUGUGAGUUGAGGGAGCCACAAGGUUGGUGUCACACCUGAGCCAGGAAAGGUGAUCAGGAGGUCUGCAAGUUGAAGGAGGAAAACAAUUCUCGACUGUAGCUUGAAGAGUUCUGAUUAUCCUUCUGGCUCCUGACCCUCCUGACCAGGGAAGUCAGGUGAUCCCAUAACCCCCUCUGAUUGGCUAUGUUGUGCUAUGGCUUCAUCAGGCUGGCACCAUUAUCCCCACUAGGCUGGUUCACAUGCAGCCCAGUGAUAUGGAGGGCAACAGAUGCAUGGCCUGGGUGACUUGCCAGCGGUGAUGACACAGCAGCCCAUGACCUUCCUUCCCAGGGAAGCCAGGUGAGGAGAGAGAGACAAGAAUCAGGCCAAUGGCUCAUCCAGUUCCCUCAAUGGCAAGCAAGAUGCCUGUGGGAAACUUGCAUGCAGGAAUCAAGCCAAAUAGGGCUCUCCCCAUUGGCUAUCAGCCUCAGGACAACCUUGUGAGGUAGGCUAGGUUGAGAGCAGGUGGUUGGGCCAAGUCACCCAGAGUACUUGGCACCUAAGUGAGAAUGCCUCACCACUCCUUGUCCAACCUACUAACUGGGACUUUGCACCGACUGCUGAUUGGCUACUGGGGAGCCUGCCUAAAAACCGGAGCACGUGGUCUGGGCUGGUGUCCAGGCACCUGCUGAUUGUUUGUACCCCAAGAGCCACUUUGCCACCAGACCAAGCCCUCCUCUUCUUCAUGGGAACUGUUACGUAUGCAGAAGUGAACCUCCUUGCUUCUCCUCAGACAAGAGUGAUGAUCACAGGCUUUUGGCCUAGCCAGUGGGAGCAAGGAGGAGGUGGAGGAGUGGCUGGAGGAGCUGUGGCUCAUCAUGGCAAAGAGGCAGACCCUCUGACGGAGGCGGGGGCAAGGGCGUCUUGCCAAAGGGCCGUGCGAAAUCCAGAGCCAUUGCUGCUCAAAAGCCCCAUCUGUGCUAGAUGUUUAAAGCACUGCCUUAGCACUUUAAACAGUCGUGGUCUCCCCCAAAGAAUCCUGGGGAUUGCAGCUUCCGGGCGCAGGAAUUUAUGAGGAAAUCUGCUCACAGGGCUACAAUUCCCAGAAUGACUUAAGCAUCAACCCCCCCUCCCUCCCCAGUGAACUCCAGGAGCUGUAGCUCUGUGAGAGGAAGUGGGCUCUCCAUUUACAAACUACCGUUCCCAGGAUUCUUUGGGGGAAGCAGGAUGGUUUAAGUAGUAUAGCAGUUGGGGGGUUCAGUGCAUACUGUGGAUGUAGCCACACUUUGGAAGCAGGUGCAGCUGGAGAGUGGGGCGCUCAGUAUUUGCAGCAGAAAGUGGUUCAAGUUCCCAGAUGAGCUCAAAUGUGGAUAAAUGCCCCCCCAGCCAGUUAUCCAAAGAUUUUCCCCCACCCUCUUUCCAGCCCUUGCAGCUGUUUCUCCUCUUCCUUCUCCGUAUCUCAACAGGUUUGCUGCUCCCCUGUGUGACCAGCAUGUUGGGGGGGUAGGUUGUCUCUGGCUUCCAGAUCCAAACGAGCCCUGCAAUUCUGCCCCCCAGCCCAGCCCGCUUUCCUCUGCUCUGCCACAGGCAUUUUAGUAUGUAAAUCCCUUCUGAAUUAAAUCCACCAAGGCAUCAGAGACUUUUUAGAAGGAACACUGCUUCCCAGGGGCGCUUAAGGGUUUUACUCAGUGAUCCCAGCCAGUCUUUGGUAUCUUCAUCUCUCUUCCUCGUUGGCAGAAUUGUCUGUAUUGGGCUUCCUUCCCCAUUUCCCAUUAGUUACCUCAACCACUGAAGCUUCACUGGUUCCACAUAAAAGGGCCUCUUCCCUUGGGCAGCUUUUUGCCUUUCUAAAAGCAGCAUUAUCUGAAACACACACACACCCUUCUAUUUCCAAUGUUCAUGCUGUACGUGCCAUCUACUUAUGCACCCUCCAUGCACUCCCCCCCCCAGGAACCCUCCAAAACAGUCUAAUUCAGCCUGAGCAUGCUCAGUGCCCAUAGAAUCUGAAAAGCAGGUGGCAGGGGGAGUGGAACAGAGGAGCUGCAAAAGAGGGACUGGGACAUAGAGGAGGGAGAAAAGUUGUUUUCUGCUGCUCCAGAGAAGCGGACACGGAGCAAUGGAUCCAAACUACAAGAAAGAAGAUUCCACCUAAACAUUAGGAAGAACUUCCUGACAGUAAGAGCUGUUCAACAGUGGAAUUUGCUGCCAAGGAGUGUGGUGGAGUCUCCUUCUUUGGAGGUCUUUAAGCAGGGGCUUGACAACCAUAUGUCAGGAGUGCUCUGAUGGUGUUUCCUGCUUGGCAGGGGGUUGGACUCGAUGGCCCUUGUGGUCUCUUCCAACUCUAUGAUUCUAUGAUUCUAUGACACGGAGUCCUUAGAAAGCCAGAGAGAGCUGUCCCUUUUCCUGGACAGGACUUUUCCUGCUUCGUACAGUGAAGCAGGACUGAGCAGGCAGAGCAACCCAUCUUAUGCCUAGUGCACUUCGGAGGCAUCUAGACGGGGUCCUGGGGGGGGGCACAGGAGAUGCUGGUGGGCAAACGGCAAGCAUCUCUUUGGUGACCUUUGCUCCACAUCAGAUAUAAUUUUAUACACCUGGCUCAUGUCUUUGCUCACCUGCCUUUUAUUCUAAAAUGAAAACCCGCAAGCACUUUAACCUUUCUUCCUCAGGGAUCAGUUGCCACGGAUGGUGAAAACAAAACAAAUCAGGAGAACUUAAAAACAUAAGAAGAGUCCUGCUGGAUCAGGCCCGUGGCCCAUGUAGUCCAGCCUCCUGUUCUCACAAUGGCCAGCCAGCAGCCUGAGGGAAGCCUGCAAACUGGACCUAAGCAGCCCUCUGCCCCCUUGUCAUUCCCAGGAACCUCUCUCCGAACAUACCACCUCCGACAGUGGAGACAGAGCAGAGCCAUCCUGACUAGCAGCCAUCCACAGCUGAAUCCGCCAUGAAUUUGCCUGACCCCCUUUGGAAGUCUUCCAAGUUGGCAACCAUCACCACCUCCUUUGGAAGUUCCAUAGUCCAGCCAUGCGCUGCAUGACAAAAUUGUUGGGCAUCUGAGCCAACCGAGUUUGCGCAGCGACUGGGGCAAUGGAAUAAAAACUUGCCUGCAAUAUCUUUGCCACU